CAUUCUCUUUUUUAAUGCACUGGGCCCUUUCUUUCAAAUUAGUCAGUUCGUUUCAGAUCUUGUCAUUUCUGCUAUAGGUGACUGCUCAAGAUGUGGCUUCCUGUAGUUCAGAGAUAGUUUUCAAAACUGCCUCAAGCUUAUGUAGUAGUGUUAAGAAUAAACAGGUGUGGAACAUAUGGCCUAUAUUUGAAUAGUUGUGGGAAUAACUGUGGGAACAUGGAGCAGCAAGAAUAAGCUGUGGGACCAAUGGGCUGUGGGAACAUAGAGCAGCUGACCCCCAACAGGGUCUUCAUGGUUGUAUGACCUGAAUACAUUUUCAAAGCGGAGCCACAGGAUGCGGGCUUCUACUCUGUUCCACUAUUAGACGCGCCUUUGUCCUGCACCUGGCCUCAGCGAGGUGGGAUGUGCAUACUCUUACUUUUAUAAAAAUGUUGUAUAUUGACCACUAAUUCUGUGCAUGCUGUCAUACAGAGAUGAUGAACCAUUCCUGAAGUUGGACGCCAGAAUGCAGGAAGGUGCUGUUUAAGAGCCUAGGCGGUGGAAGAAGCACUUGCAGGUAUGCUACCGACCAGGCUCCUCAACAUCAAUCCGAGACGGAAGAUGAAACGGGAUGAAGCAGUUAGAUUGAGGAUAACGUACCUCAACAGUCUUCUUCAGAUUCUCUACAAACACAGUCUGAGUGGUGAUUAGAACAUGCCUGGCAUCCAAGGGUGUGGCCAGUUUGUUAACCCUUUACACUCUACACUUUACAAUUAGAAUUAUUGUACACUGUCUGGACAAGAUGUAGAAUACUACUGAGCGACAGUGAUAUGUCAUGUUCUUAAUACUGUUAUAUCCUGUCAUUACAGACAAGGCGGCCGGAAACUUUGAUGACCUCAAUGACACUGGCUAGGUGAAGGACAUCAACAAAAUGGCAUCAGGUCACCAGACAUCAGCUCAUAAUCCACAACGUCAUCAACCAUUUUGCGCCAAAAAUGAAGCCGUUCACAUACCAUGGCAUCCUAAGCAGGCAGCACUACACUACUGUGCAACAGUGAGAGAGAGCGGGCAAGGACAAGUAAAGCGGACCUACACUACAGCAAGACUUUGACACUUCUCCACGUUAGAGGCAGCCAUCACCCCCACCGUUGAGCAGCGGCUAUGUGUAACCCCCAAAAGAGGAGAUGAUCCGACGAUGUGUGUGUGGUGUGUGCUUGUGUGUGUUGUAUGAUAUUGUAACACUUCAGUCCUUCUUUUAUACUAUACAGUGUAUACAUAUACAUUUGUGGGUUUGUUUAAAAACCAUUGCUGAGGUUAAGAAAUGCAUUAUGACAAAUACAUCUGAUUCAGGUGUACUGUCUUUUAUUUGCCACAAAUAAAUCACAUCCUGGAAACCUGUACGAUGUGUGGAUUUAAAGAUCUGCCAGAUCUUUGUGACGGCACAGGAUUGCAGUGGAACCCAAACAUAGCCUACGAACUCCCACGCCAUCUCACCAACUGCCGAUAUGCAGUAUGCCUGAUUUUUCCUGUACAGCAAAGAAAUGUAGAGAUUGUGCCUUCAUCAAGAAUAGGUCAUUUGGAAUCACAACUAUUAUUCAAUUUACUUUGUGCGUGUGGUGUUGCUAUUGCUGUUAUUAUUAUGUUACUAGUGACCCCUUUAGUUGAGUUCAAUAGUCUACAUGAAAUCUCUGCACUUGUGUUACCACUAUUGGGAUUGGCAGCUCCCUAAAUGAAAAUGAGAAAAACUUGCCUGGAUGAAAUGUUAUGAACUGUAUGCGUUGUGCUGCUUGCUGAAGUAACAUGACACCCACAUCACCUUCCAGAAAUAAAGUGUAUACAGGCUACCUAA
Long non-coding RNA from Engraulis encrasicolus (European anchovy), 1828 nucleotides. RefSeq lists it as uncharacterized. NCBI's taxonomy places the organism in Eukaryota, Metazoa, Chordata, Actinopteri, Clupeiformes, Engraulidae. The transcript has 4 exons. The record is from RefSeq and is a predicted model, not a curated record.